AGACCAGUGCGCGUUAUUGUAAGCUUGAUCAGCGCCCUAGGACCCACGCGGUACCCUUCCCGAGCGCACUAGUCCCCAAAGAGUGACCGUCCCGCGCGUACUAGGGUGCGUUUAGUACUCAUCGGAGGAGACUAGGGCACAAAGAGGACGCGUCACACGGGACUAGGGCGCUUUUGAUACUCACCGAAGGGGCCUAGGGCUCAAAAGAGUACGCGUGACGCGGGACUAGGGCUCAGAAAGUACGCGUGCCGCGGGACUAGGGCUCAGACAGUACCCGUACCGAGAGACUCGCGCUCAAACAGUCACUAUGCAAGACUAAUAAUAUAGGUGGCGUAGGGACUUGAAAGAACCUUCGAACACAUUCGGCAAAGACCCAAUAAUAUCGCAACUCGCUUAACAACUGAGGAUUAAUUUACGCGGGCCCCAUGAAAUUAUAGUGGGGCAAUUCUAGAAAAAAAUUGUAAAAAACGUCCGUCAGACGACAUUUGUGAGCGACUGAGAGGUGCUACGGGUUGUUGAAGCACAUUACUAGACGACUAGACGUGUUUUUGCAAGACGCAACAAUACGUAGCACCUCUCAGUCGCUCACAAAUGCCGGACACCCCUAUCUGAUUCAAUAGAAAUAACGACAAAAAAUUAAAGAUAAGAUGCACUUUUUAAGCCCUACAAGGGCCUGUGCUUCCUGCCCAGAGAGAGAGAGAGAGAGAGAGUGCAAAAAGUGUCGCUACUCUUUGAAGACUGCUGACAAACAUUAAUUUUAACGCAUGCACAUGGACCCGCCAGAGGAAUAGUUACCUAUUUGACGAGAUAGUAGUGAAGUGAGCUCCUAGACAAAGAUAUAUUUCAGCAUAAGUUGAAGAAGCGCUGCAUCGCCCUAAAGAUAGAGUCGAAAACUGCGUUCUUCUGCGCGCAGCCGUUCGCCCACACGAGCAGGCGCAAGGACUGCGUCGACUGGGUCCCGAAAGAGGAGGCUGUCGGUUGCGCUCCUUCCCCAUGUUACAGGUUGGCUCAGCGGUCUAAGGCGUCGACAUCACCGGCAAGGAAUCCGAGGAACCAGAGGACAAGGGAACGAAAACGACCGAGCGCGCAGACGGAUAUGGGACUAGUACGCAAAGAGUCCUCGCGCCGAUUUAAUUUUUGUUUCAGGCAAAAGGGGACUAGUACGCUUUUAAUACGCUCGGCUCGGCGCACGGUCACUGUUUGCGCACUAGUCCCCUCCCAAUAAGGGACGGGACCAGGGCACACGGAGGGCGUUUUUUCGUCACUUUUGGGCGUGUUUGAGACCAGUCCCCAUGCGCCCGGACUAGUACCCAAACAGUACGCUCGUGGGGACUGAAUGGUCCCUGUUUGGGGACUGUUUGGGUACUGAUUAUUUUUGUAAGGGGAACUUACACCUGUUUCAGACUGAGACAUAGUGGGACAGCAAAUAUUCAUCGAGAAGUUACUAGUUUAAGAGAUUCGGUUUGAUGUUCUUUUCAGACAUACUGGGGUCAAACUUUUAGGUUGUUAUGACAUUCUAUUUUUCAUUAUAUUAUCAUUAAUGAAUGAUGCAUCUAAAUGUAAGGAUUCAUUUAUAUACUUCAUACUUAGUUGAAGCUCCAAAGUCAUGGAAACAUGCCAUCUCCAAAUCUUUAUAAUUACAUGCCUUCUUAAAGUAGCAAAACAAAAGAAGUAAGGUAAAAACAUGAAAUAAUUUUUUUUAGCCCUUGCCCCAGAUUCCAAAGUUUAUCUUUUUACACUUAAAUUAAGCUUAAGGUGUGUACUAAAACAUAUCAAAAAUCUGGAAUGGAGAUUUUGGAAAUAAGGGAAACGUUCCAGAAAGAGCAGAAUUUUUGUAUGAAAGAUGUUGAUAAUUAAAGGAAGAUGAGGCAAUAUCACUCAUUUCUUCCUUUCUCUAUGCUAAAUUAUUGUUCUUUCAAAUGGUUUUGUUUUUGUUCUUCCUUCUAAGAUUACUCUUCAACAGUUCUGCAUAGUUGUUAUAGAUCAUUUUGGGAUUUAUUUUAUCUGGGGAAGGGGACAAGAAAAAUUAUUUCAUAUUUUUACCCUUACAAGAGUUAGACGGGGGUACACAAAGUGAACAGAGUUAGCUUGCCUCAUUUUUUCCGGUCUCUUUUGACCUAGUUGACUUGAUUUCAAUGAAAAGUAUUUAGAAUAAUUUGCCAAGUAAUCUUUAUCAUGAAAUUUGGUUUAGACUACUUUAGGUAGUAAAUCUAAAACAUGAUACAGACACAGUUUAGUUUUUAAUAAAAAAAAAGGUUACACAUACUUACAAUUGCUACUUUAAGAAAACAAACCAUAUAUUAUAAAGAAUGCCAUAUUCCUCCCUUUCCCACAAUGAAUGGUCUUCAAAGUGUGACGAGGAAAAAAAAUUAUAGAAAGUGACGCCAAACGUUUCCUUGUCCUAGCUCAAUCCUGCACUGGUCGGGCGGCCCCGGUGGCCUGGCACCCAUCGGCGCGCAAGUGAGACAGAGCUAGUACGCUGGCAGCGCGCGAGAUGGACACCUUUAACUGGCAGGGGCUAAGGGUAGGCUGCCUACUCGAUUAACAUGUGUGGCGGGUCGGCCUACCCAGCACUUUGAAGGCGCUCAGGCGUAAGAACCGAGCCUUUUCGAGAGGUAUAGCUGUGGUGAAACUUUCAUCCAUAUAACUGUAAAUUUCGCCUGUUUCGCCGAAUAAUCAUUUGUACUUUCAAAUAAUCCUGGAUAAUCAUUGAUAAUCACGGAUAAUCAUCGAUAAUCCUUGAUAAUCAUCAUAAUCGCAAUAAUCUUUCAUAUCAAAAUAAUCAGUAAUAAUCAGUGAUAAUCAGUAAUAAUCAAUAAUAAUCAGUAAUAAUCACGAGUGAUUAUAAUCCUCGUACGCAAAAUUUCUUAGUGGUAGACCCUUGCAAAUUUACGGGUAUGUCUGUGUCCUAAUUUUUCCUCGUAGUUUGAUGUCAUAUGUUUAUGGCUGUUUGUUACUCGCUCUCUUGCAAUUCGGCGGACUAGCGGUAUGUCUAUGUCAGAGAGGAAGAGAUAGGGGGCAGCGGGUGGCCGGCAGAGCGGCCGGCAUCCCUGGCUAAGUAUUGUUCGGUAUUGUUGAGAACGGUGGGACCGGUGGACGCCUCGCGCCCCCCUUAUACAUCUGGGUGACGUCAUGCGUCUGGUUCUCUGUCCUUACCGAGAGUAAAAGCUACCUGACACUUUAAGUUACUUAAAUAUUCUUAACGUUUAGUCAAAAGCUUUUUAAGGUAUCAUCUGCUAAAAAUAUUUUUUUUGAAGAUUUUUACAGGUUUGCCCCCUUAAGCCAAUAUCCGGAGCAAACUGUCAUCAUUUUUUUGUGUGUAACUAUGGACAUUUUAUAUUUCAGGCUAAUCUUCGCACACUUGUUCGUACUGCGAAUGAGUUUAACAUUAGUAUUCUGUCCUACCACGCCUGGUCUCUGAUUGACGGCUUCGAAUUUUCAAGCGGUUACGAAAAGCGUCCGUUCGGUUUGAUUCGUGUGGAUUACGAGAACAAGAGUCUUAGCCGCACAAUCAAGGACUCGUCCAAACUUUUCCAGAAAAUAGCUGAAACGGGUUACGUACCGUAUAUCCCGUUGUCACCACCCACGUCAUCCUCAUAUGUUAUUGUGCCCUUCGCAACCUUCUCGUGUUUGUUAUCACUAACUACUAAUCUUAUAUAAGUCAGUCAGUGCGUAGUACUGUACUUGCUGAUUAUUCAUGAUUUUAUGCAAAAUUAGCUGUGCAUCGUCUGCUUCGUGUUAAUUUGAUUGAUGAAAACUGUCGAGCUUUGAGGUAGGCCUGCUUACGCAAGGGCCUAUCGAAGAACUCAAAUUUUGAGCUAAACAUGCUGAACCACAGCAGCCCUUUACAGACUGGCCAAGGGCUCUCAUUUGGGUGAUUUCUCUUCCCGCGAGAAAGGAAAGCCAUUGUACAGAAUGUGUGGUAGUGGAUGAUCGUGUGUAUGAAUGUGCUGUGCAUAUGAAAGUGGAGGGCGUGUUUGUGUACGCGGACAAGGGGCCCUUAUAUAAGUCACAUCUAUACUACUACAUGUAUUCGGAAAUAAACUAUUAUCAGUACGCACUAUGAA
Long non-coding RNA from Frankliniella occidentalis (western flower thrips), 4067 nucleotides. RefSeq lists it as uncharacterized. The transcript has 2 exons. The record is from RefSeq and is a predicted model, not a curated record. Lineage: Eukaryota; Metazoa; Arthropoda; Insecta; Thysanoptera; Thripidae.